UGCAGUCGAACGGCAGCACGGGAGCUUGCUCCUGGUGGCGAGUGGCGAACGGGUGAGUAAUAUAUCGGAACGUACCCUAGAGUGGGGGAUAACGCAGCGAAAGUUGCGCUAAUACCGCAUACGAUCUACGGAUGAAAGUGGGGGAUCGCAAGACCUCAUGCUCAUGGAGCGGCCGAUAUCUGAUUAGCUAGUUGGUAGGGUAAAAGCCUACCAAGGCUUCGAUCAGUAGCUGGUCUGAGAGGACGACCAGCCACACUGGAACUGAGACACGGUCCAGACUCCUACGGGAGGCAGCAGUGGGGAAUUUUGGACAAUGGGCGCAAGCCUGAUCCAGCAAUGCCGCGUGAGUGAAGAAGGCCUUCGGGUUGUAAAGCUCUUUUGUCAGGGAAGAAACGGUGGACUCUAAUACAGAUCACUAAUGACGGUACCUGAAGAAUAAGCACCGGCUAACUACGUGCCAGCAGCCGCGGUAAUACGUAGGGUGCAAGCGUUAAUCGGAAUUACUGGGCGUAAAGCGUGCGCAGGCGGUUUGGUAAGACAGAUGUGAAAUCCCUGGGCUCAACCUAGGAAUUGCAUUUGUGACUGCCCGACUAGAGUGUGUCAGAGGGGGGUAGAAUUCCACGUGUAGCAGUGAAAUGCGUAGAGAUGUGGAGGAAUACCGAUGGCGAAGGCAGCCCCCUGGGAUAACACUGACGCUCAUGCACGAAAGCGUGGGGAGCAAACAGGAUUAGAUACCCUGGUAGUCCACGCCCUAAACGAUGUCUACUAGUUGUUGGGUCUUAAUUGACUUAGUAACGCAGCUAACGCGUGA
RNAcentral lists this ribosomal RNA (811 nucleotides) under Herminiimonas sp. SOK48. Its description in RNAcentral is "bacterial SSU rRNA". It matches the Rfam family "Bacterial small subunit ribosomal RNA", at positions 56 to 862 of the family's 1533-position model. Lineage: Bacteria; Pseudomonadati; Pseudomonadota; Betaproteobacteria; Burkholderiales; Oxalobacteraceae. The record is from RNAcentral.